Molecule: ribosomal RNA, 253 nt
Filed under: uncultured bacterium
Lineage: Bacteria
Description: partial 16S ribosomal RNA
Rfam family: Bacterial small subunit ribosomal RNA
Source: RNAcentral
UACGAGGGGUCCAAGCGUUGCUCGGAAUCAUUGGGCGUAAAGCGGGUGUAGGCGGCUCUAUAAGUCAGAAGUGAAAGCCCCGAGCUUAACUUGGGAAGUGCUUUUGAUACUGCAGAGCUUGAAUGUGGGAGAGGGUAGUGGAAUUCCAGGUGUAGUGGUGAAAUACGUAGAUAUCUGGAGGAACACCGGUGGCGAAGGCGGCUACCUGGCCCAACAUUGACGCUGAGACCCGAAAGCAUGGGGAUCAAACAGG